AGGACGAGGGGUCAGCGCGAACCUUUUUCUCUCGUGGUGAGACGGCCCACUUCACUAUCCAUUUCUAGACUAGUCCACUCCCUUUCUCUUCCGCCCCGACCACACAAAUCGAUUCCACCCCGACCAGAUCGCCGGCGAAGGUGUGUGCAGCGGCCAGCCCGUGGAUCUCGGCGGCAUGCCGGUAGUUGGAGAAAGCGUAGCCGCUUGAGGAUGCGGGGCACGGAAGGGGGAGGAGCAGAGCCGUCUCCGACGCGGCGCUGUCGAAGGGGCGGGCGCAGAGGGGGAUAGCGGCAGCGGUCGCCGGUGAGGGUGUUGCGGCAGCCUGUCCACGGAUCUCGGCGAUGGCGCCAGCUCGAGAAAGUCGCGGCGCUCGAGGAUGCGUGGCGCGGAGGGAGAGAGCAGCAGCGAUCUGACGCCGCCGCCGUCGCCGCCGCGGCGCUUCAGCGUCGGCAUGUGGCGGAGGUCAACCAGGAGGUGGACGACGCCCUGCCGCUUGCAGUCGAGCUGCUCGUCGACGGGGACGCCGUCUUCUUUCCUGCAAUGUGCCGAAGGGGAACUGCUCGCCGGGAGUCACCCAUGGCCAGGUAUUCCGUUCACCUUGCGGCGGUGGCUUGGUCAAACCUUUUCGCGGCUUUGCCACUCUCUCCGGCCGGAUCUUGAUCUUGAUGCACAACCAGGAGGUGAACUAGGAUUUCUUUUUCUUUCCACGGAUUCCACAGCAUCUUGAUCGAUUCACUAGCUAAGCAAAAAGACUACUCGUUCUUGUAGGCAAGUGCCCAGAAUGGGUAGAUGCAUUUUGAUAUGCAAUUUUUUA
This is a long non-coding RNA of Triticum dicoccoides, 814 nucleotides long. RefSeq lists it as uncharacterized. The record is from RefSeq and is a predicted model, not a curated record. The transcript is spliced from 2 exons. NCBI's taxonomy places the organism in Eukaryota, Viridiplantae, Streptophyta, Magnoliopsida, Poales, Poaceae.